Molecule: ribosomal RNA, 285 nt
Filed under: uncultured bacterium
Lineage: Bacteria
Description: partial 16S ribosomal RNA
Rfam family: Bacterial small subunit ribosomal RNA
Source: RNAcentral
GGGCCGAUGUCAGAUUAGGUAGUUGGUGGGUAAAGGCUCACCAAGCCAACGAUCUGUAGCUGGUCUGAGAGGACGACCAGCCACACUGGAACUGAGACACGGUCCAGACUCCUACGGGAGGCAGCAGUGGGAAUUUUGGACAAUGGGCGCAAGCCUGAUCCAGCCAUUCCGCGUGCAGGAUGAAGGCCUUCGGGUUGUAAACUGCUUUGUACGGAACGAAACGGCGAGCUCUAAUACAGUUUGCUAAUGACGGUACCGUAAGAAUAAGCACCGGCUAACUACGUG